GAUGAACGCUGGCGGCGUGCCUAAUACAUGCAAGUCGAGCGAACAGACGAGGAGCUUGCUCCUCUGACGUUAGCGGCGGACGGGUGAGUAACACGUGGAUAACCUACCUAUAAGACUGGGAUAACUUCGGGAAACCUGAGAUAAUACCGGAUAAUAUAUUGAACCGCAUGGUUCAAUAGUGAAAGACGGUUUUGCUGUCACUUAUAGAUGGAUCCGCGCCGCAUUAGCUAGUUGGUAAGGUAACGGCUUACCAAGGCGACGAUGCGUAGCCGACCUGAGAGGGUGAUCGGCCACACUGGAACUGAGACACGGUCCAGACUCCUACGGGAGGCAGCAGUAGGGAAUCUUCCGCAAUGGGCGAAAGCCUGACGGAGCAACGCCGCGUGAGUGAUGAAGGUCUUCGGAUCGUAAAACUCUGUUAUUAGGGAAGAACAAAUGUGUAAGUAACUAUGCACGUCUUGACGGUACCUAAUCAGAAAGCCACGGCUAACUACGUG
RNAcentral lists this ribosomal RNA (497 nucleotides) under uncultured bacterium. RNAcentral's name for it is "partial 16S ribosomal RNA". It matches the Rfam family "Bacterial small subunit ribosomal RNA", at positions 28 to 507 of the family's 1533-position model. The record is from RNAcentral.